This 252-nucleotide ribosomal RNA is filed under the name uncultured bacterium. RNAcentral describes it as "partial 16S ribosomal RNA". It matches the Rfam family "Bacterial small subunit ribosomal RNA", at positions 524 to 775 of the family's 1533-position model. The record is from RNAcentral.
UACGGAGGGAGCUAGCGUUAUUCGGAAUUACUGGGCGUAAAGCGCACGUAGGCGGCUUUGUAAGUUAGAGGUGAAAGCCUGGAGCUCAACUCCAGAAUUGCCUUUAAGACUGCAUCGCUUGAAUCCAGGAGAGGUGAGUGGAAUUCCGAGUGUAGAGGUGAAAUUCGUAGAUAUUCGGAAGAACACCAGUGGCGAAGGCGGCUCACUGGACUGGUAUUGACGCUGAGGUGCGAAAGCGUGGGGAGCAACAGG